Molecule: long non-coding RNA, 1948 nt
Filed under: Mytilus galloprovincialis (Mediterranean mussel)
Lineage: Eukaryota; Metazoa; Mollusca; Bivalvia; Mytilida; Mytilidae
Source: RNAcentral
AAGGUAGAUAGGGUGUCUUCCUCCAUCUUGGAUUUUGAAAUACUAGAAAACAAGGUCUAGAUCUUUGAUGAAAUGUGCAAAUUUUUAUAAUAGUAGGUAAUUCAUGUGUAAGAAUUUUCAUUAUAAUAUAGAAAAUGCCAUGUUUGAUCAUAUUUAUGAUUGUAUUUUACAAAAAUAAGAAUCCUUUUGUUUGAUUCAUUUUUUUCCAACUUUGUCAAAUAAGGGGAGGCAACUCAAAUGCAAGGGCAGAUAAUCCAGAUAGUGUUACUUUUACAAUAGAAUGUGUUAGGAAUUUACCCAUUUUUACAUGUAGCAAGAAAACGAGUCCGGUGACCCCAUUUUUUCUUUUUCUUAUCUGAAAGCAUAAUAUUGAAGCUAUCUUCUCAUAUUUUAUCUCAAAAUUCUAUGGUAUAGUUUGCAUUUUAUGGCGGAAAAAUGGGUUUUCCAUGCAUAAUCUAUACAAAAUCUUGACAAUUUUGAACAACCUGUAGCGUGAAAAUAAGUCCGGUGACCCAUUCUUUUUAUUAAUGUUUUUAAACAAGCAGAUAUGAACUACAUUUUGGCAAAUUAUUAAAAGAUUCUAUGGAUUAUAAUUUAGACACCCCAUCUACCUUAAAUGAAUCCAUGUUAUUUAGCUUCUAUGGUAGCCUCUGGACUCAUAAAACACUACACAAAUGAGUCAUUUGAAAGGCGAGAGAUAGUAAAUUUUGAAUUGCUAUAAACAAAAAUAACUAUGCAAAAAAUUAUCAAACUAAGCUUUAAUACUAAUUCCUUUUUCUUUUUAUGCCCUUGCUGUAACAGAGGGAGCAUUAAGUUUUACCCUGGUUUGUCUGUACAUCGGUAAUUAUGUCUGUAUGUCUGGAAUGGGUAUCAGUUCUCUAACUUGGAGUUUGCUUCUUCUUUUUUUUUCAACUUUACAUACUUUAUUUCAGUAAUAGUUGUUAACAAGGCCCCUUAAUGUUACAACAAUGGCAUUAAGGUUCUUCCCUGUAUUGUUAAUUACCAAUAAAACCAGGGGAUUUCAUUGGCAAACUUUUUAUAAUUCUACAUAGUAUUAUGUGUUAGUUACAAUUUACAGAGUAAUAGCUGUCUACAACAUGAAUACAUUACUUUACUUUACAAUGAAAAAGAAAACGGAACUUUGACCGUCUUUUGUUUAGCUUUUAGUUUUGGAUUACACAAGGGAAAGUGAGAGAGCAAGGUUUCUGAUCGAAACAAGAGGUCAGUAUAAUUACGAUUGUUUUUAGGUAAUAUCUUAUCAUUCAAAUACACUGAACAUUGAAAUAAUAUACCAUAUCUGAUAGUUAAACAAAAGUUAAGGAGCAAUUUUGUUUAGCAAUUUUUCUUCUUUUUAUUUCAAUAAUAUUUUUGUGAUUCUAGUCUUGGAGUUUGCCUCAACUAAAUGUUUUGAAACUUAACAAAAUGUGCAUUGUAGUAAUAACCAUGAAACACAGAUCAAGUGUGAUUUUUGGUUAGAUCACUUUUUCUGCUCUAGAGUAAUUCCCUUUUACAAAUGGAAAAAUUGCUGAAUUUUUUUGUUUCCCUUCUUUGACUUACAGAUUGCCUCUCCCAAAUGUUAUGAAACUUAAACAAAAUGCUUGUACAUUUACAUGUAACCACAAAACACAUAUCAGGUGCAAAGGACAAAGUACGAUAAAGGCCCUUUUUUGCCCCCUACCCCUUUUUUUUCAUUUUUUAAAUUCUGAUUUGGAAAGCUACUUAUUAUGUUAAAAUAUUCUCUGAUGCUUGAAGUUUGUUUGGAUGAACUUCAAAACCACUAAUUUAAGCAACUGGAUGAGGUGAGGAGGUCAGUUUCUGUUUUAUUCAAAUAUUGUAAUUAUUAAUCUCUUUGCAGGUGUUUCGUACAACAAUUUUUUAAUUUUUAAGUGCCUGCGCCAACUUGACCCAGGAUUUUUUUUAUUCCAAUGUAAUUAGCACUAUUUUUCCU